This 513-nucleotide ribosomal RNA is filed under the name Salmonella enterica subsp. enterica serovar Infantis. Its description in RNAcentral is "partial 23S ribosomal RNA". It matches the Rfam family "Bacterial large subunit ribosomal RNA", at positions 711 to 1221 of the family's 2925-position model. Lineage: Bacteria; Pseudomonadati; Pseudomonadota; Gammaproteobacteria; Enterobacterales; Enterobacteriaceae. RNAcentral also lists the same sequence under 10 other names. The record is from RNAcentral.
AGACCCGAAACCCGGUGAUCUAGCCAUGGGCAGGUUGAAGGUUGGGUAACACUAACUGGAGGACCGAACCGACUAAUGUUGAAAAAUUAGCGGAUGACCUGUGGCUGGGGGUGAAAGGCCAAUCAAACCGGGAGAUAGCUGGUUCUCCCCGAAAGCUAUUUAGGUAGCGCCUCGUGAAUUCAUCUCCGGGGGUAGAGCACUGUUUCGGCUAGGGGGCCAUCCCGGCUUACCAACCCGAUGCAAACUGCGAAUACCGGAGAAUGUUAUCACGGGAGACACACGGCGGGUGCUAACGUCCGUCGUGAAGAGGGAAACAACCCAGACCGCCAGCUAAGGUCCCAAAGUCAUGGUUAAGUGGGAAACGAUGUGGGAAGGCCCAGACAGCCAGGAUGUUGGCUUAGAAGCAGCCAUCAUUUAAAGAAAGCGUAAUAGCUCACUGGUCGAGUCGGCCUGCGCGGAAGAUGUAACGGGGCUAAACCAUGCACCGAAGCUGCGGCAGCGACACUCAGGUGU